Vidua chalybeata is the source of this 529-nucleotide long non-coding RNA. RefSeq lists it as uncharacterized. The record is from RefSeq and is a predicted model, not a curated record. NCBI's taxonomy places the organism in Eukaryota, Metazoa, Chordata, Aves, Passeriformes, Viduidae. The transcript has 2 exons.
CCAGAAAUAGCAAAGGCAGAAAAAGCACACCAGACCAAAGAGAGCAUCUGUAGUGCCAAGAGCAGCAGAUAACAGAAGACUGGCUGAAGUGCUGUAAAGUACUGGCAGUUUGUACAGAAGCCAACAGAAGUAGGUAUCAGAGAGAGAUGUGCAUUCAAGAGGCUUAUUCACUGAGAAGACAAAGAAAGAGGAUGCUUGAAGCAAGUAGAUAUCCCUCCCAGAACUCCAUCUUCCCAUUUGUUUGGGAAAAGCUAAGAGAAGACAAAAGAAAUAGCAGUAUCUGGAAGAUGACAAGCGCAGAAAAGACACCAAAUGUAUCCCUGCUCAGGGAACCGGGGAAAAAAUAAUGAUAAAUAGGCAUGUGUACUAAAAAAUGUAUACAACAACCAGAAGAAAAUGGUCCCCUGAUCCAAGACUACGUAUCUUAAUUCAAAUAUGUGGAAUUUCUAUGUUUGCUAUAAUGAUACUUCCUGUACCAACUCCUGCAAUCAGCUGACAGGUCAGCACAAAGAAUCAGCUGUUAACUUGG